Molecule: ribosomal RNA, 497 nt
Filed under: uncultured bacterium
Lineage: Bacteria
Description: partial 16S ribosomal RNA
Rfam family: Bacterial small subunit ribosomal RNA
Source: RNAcentral
GAUGAACGCUGGCGGCGUGCCUAAUACAUGCAAGUCGAGCGAACGGACGAGAAGCUUGCGUCUCUGAUGUUAGCGGCGGACGGGUGAGUAACACGUGGAUAACCUACCUAUAAGACUGGGAUAACUUCGGGAAACCGGAGCUAAUAACGGAUAAUAUUUUGAACCGCUUGGUUCAAAAGUGAAAGACGGUCUUGCUGUCACUAAUAGAUGGAUCCGCGUUGGAUUAGCUAGUUGGUAAGGUAACGGCUUACCAAGGCAACGAUGCAUAGCCGACCUGAGAGGAUGAUCGGCCACACUGGAACUGAGACACGGUCCAGACUCCUACGGGAGGCAGCAGUAGGGAAUCUUGCGCAAUGGGCGAAAGCCUGACGGAGCAACGCCGCGUGAGUGAUGAAGGUCUUCGGAUCGUAAAACUCUGUUAUUAGGGAAGAAAAUAUGUGUAAGUAACUGUGCACAUCUUGACGGUACCUAAUCAGAAAGCAACGGCUAACUACGUG